Humulus lupulus (European hop) is the source of this 390-nucleotide long non-coding RNA. RefSeq lists it as uncharacterized. NCBI's taxonomy places the organism in Eukaryota, Viridiplantae, Streptophyta, Magnoliopsida, Rosales, Cannabaceae. The record is from RefSeq and is a predicted model, not a curated record. The transcript is spliced from 2 exons.
CUCAUAUUGGCCAUGCACCUUACCUGCUUAUCAUACUGCCCUUAAACUCUGUCAGGCAAGCAACAAAAUCCUCCUCAAGGGUCUUCUUGAAAAUGGUCUAUAUCGUGUCUCUACUCCUUCUCCAAUUCCAUCUUCUUUCCCACGGCUGUUUCUCUCCUCCAAGACUGACCUCAAUUUGUGGCAUUCUCGUUUAGGACAUUCCUCGCACGAUGUCGUCAAUCGUGCUCUUUCUCAAUGUAAUUUUUUAGUUUCUAAGAAAGAUCAUUUUACUUUUUGUUUUCCUCUUGUCAAAUGGCUAAGUCUCACUGACUUCCAGUCCCACUCUCUGUAUCUCGGGCUUUAAUGCCUUUUGAAUUAAUACAUACCGAUCUUUGGGGUCCUUCCCCUGUU